Molecule: ribosomal RNA, 401 nt
Filed under: uncultured microorganism
Description: bacterial SSU rRNA
Rfam family: Bacterial small subunit ribosomal RNA
Source: RNAcentral
GCGCAGCAGGCGAGAAUAGUCUACAAUGGACGAAAGUCUGAUAGUGCGACGCCGUGUGUGCGAUUAAUUCCUUCGGGAUGUAAAGCACUUUUCUAUGAGAUAAAGCUCUUUAGGUUAAUAGCUUAUUGAGACGGAUAUUAUUAUAGGAAUAAGCUCCGGCUAACUCCGUGCCAGCAGCCGCGGUAAUACGGAAGGAGCGAGCGUUGUCCGGAUUUACUAGGCGUAAAGGGCUAGUAGGCGACUAAGUUAAGUUAUAUGUUAAAUCCCACGGCUCAACUGUGGUCCUGCAUGUAAUACUGGUUAGAUAGAGUACUGUAGAGGAAGGCAGAAUUCCUGGAGUAGCGGUGGAAUGGCGCAGAUAUCAGGAAGAAUACCAAAAGCGAAGGCAGCCUUCUGGGCAG